Molecule: ribosomal RNA, 1049 nt
Filed under: Latilactobacillus sakei
Lineage: Bacteria; Bacillati; Bacillota; Bacilli; Lactobacillales; Lactobacillaceae
Description: bacterial SSU rRNA
Rfam family: Bacterial small subunit ribosomal RNA
Source: RNAcentral
GCCUAAUACAUGGCAAGUCGAACGCACUCUCGUUUAGAUUGAAGGAGCUUGCUCCUGAUUGAUAAACAUUUGAGUGAGUGGCGGACGGGUGAGUAACACGUGGGUAACCUGCCCUAAAGUGGGGGAUAACAUUUGGAAACAGAUGCUAAUACCGCAUAAAACCUAACACCGCAUGGUGUAGGGUUGAAAGAUGGUUUCGGCUAUCACUUUAGGAUGGACCCGCGGUGCAUUAGUUAGUUGGUGAGGUAAAGGCUCACCAAGACCGUGAUGCAUAGCCGACCUGAGAGGGUAAUCGGCCACACUGGGACUGAGACACGGCCCAGACUCCUACGGGAGGCAGCAGUAGGGAAUCUUCCACAAUGGACGAAAGUCUGAUGGAGCAACGCCGCGUGAGUGAAGAAGGUUUUCGGAUCGUAAAACUCUGUUGUUGGAGAAGAAUGUAUCUGAUAGUAACUGAUCAGGUAGUGACGGUAUCCAACCAGAAAGCCACGGCUAACUACGUGCCAGCAGCCGCGGUAAUACGUAGGUGGCAAGCGUUGUCCGGAUUUAUUGGGCGUAAAGCGAGCGCAGGCGGUUUCUUAAGUCUGAUGUGAAAGCCUUCGGCUCAACCGAAGAAGUGCAUCGGAAACUGGGAAACUUGAGUGCAGAAGAGGACAGUGGAACUCCAUGUGUAGCGGUGAAAUGCGUAGAUAUAUGGAAGAACACCAGUGGCGAAGGCGGCUGUCUGGUCUGUAACUGACGCUGAGGCUCGAAAGCAUGGGUAGCACACAUGAUUAUAUACCCUGGUAGUCCAUGCCGUACACGAUGAGUGCUAGGUGUUGGAGGGUUUCCGCCCUUCAGUGCCGCAGCUAACGCAUUAGGUACACCGCCUGGGGAGUGACGACCGACACGGUUGAAACUCCGAGGAUUUGACGUGGGUCCACACAACGCGGAGGAGCUUGUGGGUUAUUUCAACGCUACGCCGAUUAAACAUAACGAGGUCUUGUCUUCCUUUACCCACUGCUAAGAGGUUGACUGUUCCCUUCGGGACAAAGUGACAGGUGGUGCAU